GUGUCAGCCGCCGCGGUAAUACGUAGAUGGCAAGCGUUAUCCGGAAUGACUGGGCGUAAAGGGUGCGUAGGCGGUUGUUUAAGUCAGAUGUGAAAAUCCCGGGCUCAACCUGGGAACUGCAUUUGAAACUGGACGACUUGAGUGCAGGAGAGGGAAGUGGAAGUCCUAGUGUAGCGGUGAAAUGCGUAGAUAUUAGGAGGAACACCAGUGGCGAAGGCGACUUUCUGGACUGUAAC
Molecule: ribosomal RNA, 236 nt
Filed under: uncultured bacterium
Lineage: Bacteria
Description: partial 16S rRNA
Rfam family: Bacterial small subunit ribosomal RNA
Source: RNAcentral